Molecule: ribosomal RNA, 407 nt
Filed under: Rhinella granulosa (granular toad)
Lineage: Eukaryota; Metazoa; Chordata; Amphibia; Anura; Bufonidae
Description: partial large subunit ribosomal RNA
Rfam family: Bacterial large subunit ribosomal RNA
Source: RNAcentral
GAAGAAGCGGGGAUAAAGCUAUAAGACGAGAAGACCCUAUGGAGCUUAAAACUACACAGCACUUAUCAAANAAUUUUUAAUGUUUCUGUANACACUNAAUUCUUUAAAGUAAAAUGACUGCAAGUUUUCGGUUGGGGUGACCACGGAGUAUAUCAUAACCUCCAUGUUGAAAGAAUUUCUUUCUAAGCCAAGAAUAACCAAUCUAAGCAUUAACAAAUUAACAUCUAUUGACCCAAUAAAUUUGAUCAACGAACCAAGUUACCCUAGGGAUAACAGCGCAAUCCACUUCAAGAGCUCCUAUCGACAAGUGGGUUUACGACCUCGAUGUUGGAUCAGGGUAUCCCAGUGGUGCAGCCGCUACUAAAGGUUCGUUUGUUCAACGAUUAAAACCCUACGUGAUCUGAGUU